AGUGAACGCUGGCGGUAGGCCUAACACAUGCAAGUCGAACGGCAGCACAGUAAGAGCUUGCUCUUACGGGUGGCGAGUGGCGGACGGGUGAGGAAUACAUCGGAAUCUACUUUUUCGUGGGGGAUAACGUAGGGAAACUUACGAUAAUACCGCAUACGACCUACGGGUGAAAGCAGGGGAUCUUCGGACCUUGCGCGAUUGAAUGAGCCGAUGUCGGAUUAGCUAGUUGGCGGGGUAAGGCCCACCAAGGCGACGAUCCGUAGCUGGUCUGAGAGGAUGAUCAGCCACACUGGAACUGAGACACGGUCCAGACUCCUACGGGAGGCAGCAGUGGGGAAUAUUGGACAAUGGGCGCAAGCCUGAUCCAGCCAUACCGCGUGGGUGAAGAAGGCCUUCGGGUUGUAAAGCCCUUUUGUUGGGAAAGAAAAGCAGCAGGUUAAUACCCCGCUGUUCUGACGGUACCCAAAGAAUAAGCACCGGCUAACUUCGUG
This 491-nucleotide ribosomal RNA is filed under the name uncultured bacterium. Its description in RNAcentral is "partial 16S ribosomal RNA". It matches the Rfam family "Bacterial small subunit ribosomal RNA", at positions 29 to 507 of the family's 1533-position model. The record is from RNAcentral.